This 479-nucleotide ribosomal RNA is filed under the name Dischistodus perspicillatus (white damsel). RNAcentral describes it as "partial small subunit ribosomal RNA". It matches the Rfam family "Bacterial small subunit ribosomal RNA", at positions 788 to 1491 of the family's 1533-position model. Lineage: Eukaryota; Metazoa; Chordata; Actinopteri; Pomacentridae. The record is from RNAcentral.
CACUAUGCUCAGCCCUAAACUUUGAUAGGCCACUACGCCCCCUAUCCGCCCGGGUACUACGAGCAUCAGCUUAAAACCCAAAGGACUUGGCGGUGCUUCAUAUCCGUCUAGAGGAGCCUGUUCUAGAACCGAUAACCCCCGUUAAACCUCACCCUCCCUUGUUAACCCCGCCUAUAUACCGCCGUCGUCAGCCUACCCUGUGAAGGACUAGAAGUGAGCAAGAUUGGUAAAACCCAAAACGUCAGGUCGAGGUGUAGUGAAUGAGAGGGAAAGAAAUGGGCUACAUUUCCUAAGCCAGGAAAUACGAAUAAUGAACUGAAAUAAGCAUUAGAAGGUGGAUUUAGCAGUAAGUAGGAAAACAGAGUGUUCCGCUGAAGAAUGGCCAUAAAGCACGCACACACCGCCCGUCACUCUCCCCAAGCUACCCUAACCAACACGUACCUAAAAAAUUAUCCAUGCAAAGGGGAGGCAAGUCGUAA